Molecule: ribosomal RNA, 368 nt
Filed under: uncultured organism
Description: bacterial SSU rRNA
Rfam family: Bacterial small subunit ribosomal RNA
Source: RNAcentral
CGAAGGACCCGAGUGUUAUCCGGAUUUAUUGGGUUUAAAGGGUGCGUAGGCGUCCUGGAAAGUUACGGUUGAAAUCUCCUUGCUUAACAAGGAAACUGGCCGUAAAACUAUCAGGAUUGAGUACAUUUGAAGCGGGCGGAAUGUGUCAUGUAGCGGUGAAAUGCAUAGAUAUGACACAGAACACCAAUUGCGAAGGCAGCUCGCUAAACUGUAACUGACGCUGAGGCACGAAAGCGUGGGGAUCAAACAGGAUUAGAUACCCUGGUAGUCCACGCCCUAAACGAUGAUUACUCGAUGUGUGCGAUACACUGUACGCGUCUGAGCGAAAGCAUUAAGUAAUCCACCUGGGGAGUACGAUCGCAAGAUUG